RNAcentral lists this ribosomal RNA (485 nucleotides) under Flavobacterium sp. DB1.1-3. Its description in RNAcentral is "bacterial SSU rRNA". It matches the Rfam family "Bacterial small subunit ribosomal RNA", at positions 11 to 497 of the family's 1533-position model. Lineage: Bacteria; Pseudomonadati; Bacteroidota; Flavobacteriia; Flavobacteriales; Flavobacteriaceae. The record is from RNAcentral.
GUUUGAUCCUGGCUCAGGAUGAACGCUAGCGGCAGGCUUAACACAUGCAAGUCGAGGGGUAUUAGUCUUCGGACUAAGAGACCGGCGCACGGGUGCGUAACGCGUAUGCAAUCUACCUUUUACAGAGGGAUAGCCCAGAGAAAUUUGGAUUAAUACCUCAUAGCAUUAUAGCAUGGCAUCAUUAUAUAAUUAAAGUCACAACGGUAAAAGAUGAGCAUGCGUCCCAUUAGCUAGUUGGUAAGGUAACGGCUUACCAAGGCUACGAUGGGUAGGGGUCCUGAGAGGGAGAUCCCCCACACUGGUACUGAGACACGGACCAGACUCCUACGGGAGGCAGCAGUGAGGAAUAUUGGACAAUGGGCGCAAGCCUGAUCCAGCCAUGCCGCGUGCAGGAUGACGGUCCUAUGGAUUGUAAACUGCUUUUAUACGAGAAGAAACACUCCUUCGUGAAGGAGCUUGACGGUAUCGUAAGAAUAAGGAUCGGC